UUGAUAUAUAUGAGGAGCUAAAUAGUUAUCGCUACCAUGUAAAUAUGUACACAGUAUAAUAAUGUUACCAUAAAUAGAUACAUGGUUUAAAUGAAAUUAUGAAGUUUGAAAACACUAUUCAUGUAGUCCAUAUCAACAGAAUUUAUGUAGUAAGCACAUUAUCGUAUAGUGUUUUUUAACCGACGAUGUUUUUCAUUUGUGCUGACUAUACAAAUUGUCAAUAAACGGAUAUACUUUGUUAUUGUCACAUAAAGUUACAAUACAGCAGACAAUUUCGUAACACAUCAGUGAUUGAUUUGAAGAAAAAAAAGUAUAUUGUGACAUAUAUUGUGCAAUUUGGAAGGACUUGCAGUGAAAUCGACGUCCUGUAUAAUUUUUAUUAUUCGUUAUCAGUCGCUGUAGAAACAACAUCAAGCGAUUGAUUAAAAACGACGAACAUCAUCCGAUUUCCGGAUUCAAAUCGCUCGAAUCCGAAGGAAAAAAUAACAAUAUAUGGCAGGAAAAACUUCACCGAACAGAGCCUGGGAUCAACAGUUGCAACCAAGCAAUGCUGCUCCGUGUCUACGUUGAUAAUCAAUAUUUCACCAGGCACAUCAUCAUAAUAAAAUUGUAAUAAUUGCAAAAAUAAAAUAGAAUUCAAUGAAACUAUUUUGUUGUUCUUGUUCUAGAAUUCAAAUUCAUAAAACUUUUUAACAUUAGCUCAUGUUUUGCUGAUCUUCAGCAUUGUUGAAUCAACC
This is a long non-coding RNA of Malaya genurostris, 737 nucleotides long. RefSeq lists it as uncharacterized. NCBI's taxonomy places the organism in Eukaryota, Metazoa, Arthropoda, Insecta, Diptera, Culicidae. The record is from RefSeq and is a predicted model, not a curated record. The transcript is spliced from 3 exons.